UGGCCUCACCUGGACAUGGAG
RNAcentral lists this unclassified non-coding RNA (21 nucleotides) under Mus musculus (house mouse). Its description in RNAcentral is "oocyte_clustered_small_RNA144". The record is from RNAcentral. Lineage: Eukaryota; Metazoa; Chordata; Mammalia; Rodentia; Muridae.